Small nuclear RNA from Chanos chanos (milkfish), 106 nucleotides. The record is from RefSeq and is a predicted model, not a curated record. Lineage: Eukaryota; Metazoa; Chordata; Actinopteri; Gonorynchiformes; Chanidae.
GCAUAGAUCAGUCUGCUUUCUAUCACCAAAAGACUCAACACAUGGUUUAUUAGCAUGGCCCCUGCACAAGGAUGACACGCAAAUUCGUGAAGCGCCCCUCAUUCUG